RNAcentral lists this long non-coding RNA (514 nucleotides) under Chinchilla lanigera (long-tailed chinchilla). RNAcentral's name for it is "lncRNA (ENSCLAG00000022605.1)". The record is from RNAcentral. Lineage: Eukaryota; Metazoa; Chordata; Mammalia; Rodentia; Chinchillidae.
GCGUGGCUGAGGCACGGAAAGCCGAGAUUUUGAGUGGGCCGCCGCUGGAAUCCAGUUGCUGCUGGGCCGAAGGUUGUUACAACAGCUGCCUACUCGACUUCAGCAAAAACAAGCACCUUGUCUAGCACCCUCUCCCAGGAAUAUUUUCUCUGUCUUGAAAAGUGAUGUCUUCCCUGGGCAGGAACUGCUGCAAUUCAGACGUCUAUGAGUCUACAGGGAUCCAGCCCUCAAGAUUAUUUUCUGAUGUUCAGAAGCAUUCAUCUUGAUUCUGAGAUAUGCCUAGACCCUACCCUCCCUUCUGCACCUUGUUCAAUAGUGCCUCCAUCCCUGCAUCCAGGAAUUCGCGUCCAUAGAGGACGUUCUCCAAGGAUGAGGAAGAAUUAUCUAUAUCUGCCAAUUUGUGGUCUUGAGUUGGAGCCAGUACAUUGGCCCUACUUGGCAGAACAUCUUGGAAAUCCAACUUUCCUGAGAAAGGAAAUAAAAAUUAAGAGAGACCGUUCUAAUUUGGUGUUUA